Molecule: long non-coding RNA, 986 nt
Filed under: Equus caballus (horse)
Lineage: Eukaryota; Metazoa; Chordata; Mammalia; Perissodactyla; Equidae
Description: lncRNA (ENSECAG00000044141.1)
Source: RNAcentral
GGUCAGCCAAGCUCAGACAUUGCUGGACCUCCCCUCUCCAUGGAUAUGCUAGAACCAUCUGGGGCUCUGGGCAAGGUGAGAGGUGGUCUGACCCCUAGUCUUUGGGAAUUGCCAUGGAGCUGGUGCUGAAGCAAACUCGGGGGACUUGAAUGAGGGGUCUGAGGGCCAGAAAAUUCAUGGAACUGGAGGAAUUGGGGCCAGAGGAUAUGGGAAGUGGGGGACUAGUCUUAGCACACAAAAUUGGGAUUCUCUGCCCAGUGCACAUAGACAAGCCAAUUAAUUGCAGCAUCAGCCUUUGGGAAAAGAGAGCAGCUUUAUUCUUAGAGAUUGGUCUGCAGGGAGAACAGGGUGCAUGUGCCCUCAGAUCUGUCUCCCCAGUUCAGGAUUUGGGGCAAAAUUUAAGAGGUUAGGGAGAAAGGGCUGCACGCGGAAAUGCUGGUGGGGCAGGCUUUGAUUGGUGGGCUUCAAGCAUUUAUGGUAAGGUUCUAAACUUUUAUGAUGAGGCAAGGAAGAAAUUUGAACACCGGAUCUUCCUGAAUGAGGUACCCUUCACUUCUGGUAAGAGUCUGACUUUCAAGUUCCAGUCAUUUCCUCGUCCUUGGGUUCUGUGGGAAGAAGGAUCUUUGGUUCUGUGGUCAUUUCAGGUCACAAUCUCUGCUUUUGUGCAUGCCUGGGCUGUGUGACUUUGCAGAUUUUCUGAAUGGCAAUUCUUAAUCACUCUGUUGAAAAGAGAUGAGACCAGAAAAUGAAUUCCAUCCCCUGGAGGUUCAAUUGAUUUCCCUCCCCUAGUUAUGGAAAAAGCCGGUUUUGUAUCCAUUUAUAAGUUAAUUUCAACAUUCCUUUAUUCCGCAUAGAUUUAUGAUUCUUAGACUUCUCCUCUGACGCAGUUAUAACAGUCCUGGAUCCCUUAUUAAUUAAUGACUUAAAUAAAAUCUUUGCCAUGCGUUCAUUUUAUAUCUGCAUAAGAGCUAUGAUUUUACCUUUCC